GAUGAACGCUGGCGGCGUGCCUAAUACAUGCAAGUCGAGCGAACGGACGAGAAGCUUGCUUCUCUGAUGUUAGCGGCGGACGGGUGAGUAACACGUGGAUAACCUACCUAUAAGACUGGGAUAACUUCGGGAAACCGGAGCUAAUACCGGAUAAUAUUUUGAACCGCAUGGUUCAAAAGAGAAAGACGGUCUUGCGGUCACUUAUAGAUGGAUCCGCGCUGCAUUAGCUAGUUGGUAAGGUAACGGCUUACCAAGGCAACGAUGCAUAGCCGACCUGAGAGGGUGAUCGGCCACACUGGAACUGAGACACGGUCCAGACUCCUACGGGAGGCAGCAGUAGGGAAUCUUCCGCAAUGGGCGAAAGCCUGACGGAGCAACGCCGCGUGAGUGAUGAAGGUCUUCGGAUCGUAAAACUCUGUUAUUAGGGAAGAACAUAUGUGUAAGUAACUGUGCACAUCUUGACGGUACCUAAUCAGAAAGCCACGGCUAACUACGUG
Molecule: ribosomal RNA, 497 nt
Filed under: uncultured bacterium
Lineage: Bacteria
Description: partial 16S ribosomal RNA
Rfam family: Bacterial small subunit ribosomal RNA
Source: RNAcentral